GACGAACGCUGGCGGCGCGCUUAACACAUGCAAGUCGAACGGAAAGGCCUGCUUUCCCUUGUGGAUUGCGGGUACUCGAGUGGCGAACGGGUGAGUAACACGUGAGUGAUCUGCCCCCAACUUGGGUAUAAGCCUGGGAAACUGGGUCUAAUUCCCGAUAGGACUGCAGGGUGGUGCCUGUGGUGGAAAACGAGUUUCUAGUGGUUGGGGAUGAGCUCGCGGCCUAUCAGCUUGUUGGUGGGGUAAUGGCCUACCAAGGCGGCGACGGGUAGCCGGCCUGAGAGGGUGGACGGCCACAUUGGGACUGGGAUACGGCCCCGACUCCUGCGGGAGGCAGCAGUUGGGAAUCUUACACAAUGGGCGGAAGCCUGAUGCAGCGACGCCGCGUGGGGGAUGACGGCCUUCGGGUUGUAAACUCCUUUCGACCGCGAGGAAGCCACCUGGUUGGAAGGGUGGUGACGUUAGUGGUAGAAGAAGCACCGGCUAACUACGUG
RNAcentral lists this ribosomal RNA (494 nucleotides) under uncultured bacterium. RNAcentral's name for it is "partial 16S ribosomal RNA". It matches the Rfam family "Bacterial small subunit ribosomal RNA", at positions 28 to 507 of the family's 1533-position model. The record is from RNAcentral.